UGCCAGCCGCCGCGGUAAUACGAAGGGGGCUAGCGUUGUUCGGAAUUACUGGGCGUAAAGGGCGUGUAGGCGGCGGUUUUAGUCAGGCGUGAAAGCCCGAGGCUCAACCUCGGAAUAGCGAUUGAUACUGAACUGCUUGAGACCGGAAGAGGGUAGUGGAAUUCCCAGUGUAGAGGUGAAAUUCGUAGAUAUCAGGAGGAACACCGAUGGCGAAGGCAUCUCUCUGGGUCGAUAUUGACGCUGAGGCGCGAAGGCGUGGGUAGCGAACGGGAUUAGAUA
This 279-nucleotide ribosomal RNA is filed under the name uncultured bacterium. Its description in RNAcentral is "partial 16S ribosomal RNA". It matches the Rfam family "Bacterial small subunit ribosomal RNA", at positions 506 to 784 of the family's 1533-position model. The record is from RNAcentral.